Gallus gallus (chicken) is the source of this 808-nucleotide long non-coding RNA. RefSeq lists it as uncharacterized. The record is from RefSeq and is a predicted model, not a curated record. The transcript is spliced from 3 exons. Lineage: Eukaryota; Metazoa; Chordata; Aves; Galliformes; Phasianidae.
GGUAGCAGGACCACGUAGGGUAAGGGAAGAGAGAAACAAGGACUCGUAUAGUGUUGUAGGAACUAACUGAUGAAUUUUCCUUUGGAUGUGUCUAAAGUGUGAGUUUAGUAAUGAAAUUUUCUGAAAACAUCUGGACAGCAGGAGGUAGCACUGAAGAUGCUAUUGGUUCCGUUACAGAUGACUGCAACAAAACUGACUAAAACCAGAAAAUACAGAUCCUGAAUGCUUGGACAAUGCCAAGAGCUUCAAAACUUUGAGAAUGUGGCAGAGGGAGAAAGGAAGCAAGUGGGUUUUGCUUCUAGGAAAUCCACACCCUAGAAUAGGAAACUGAAAUGAUGUCUCAGCAUGCUAUGCUACUAGAUCCCAAGGUUCAAAAGUGGGAGCUCCAGAGUUCACUCUGGACUGGGCAACUUAGAGUCGGACGUAAUCUUUCCACGUGGGAAAGCUAUUACAUGUCAGCUUACGCCUUUGUGGGCCAGUGGAGUAGGAAAUGCCUUAAGGACAGUGGCACAGUAAGACAGUAAUUCUUGUGUGAAUCUCUACCAAUUACUGGAUAUUGUUUAUCUGUAGAGCUAGAUUUAAGCUGCUACAUCCAGACCAAAAUUCUUAAAAUUGACACAGAACUCAUGCCUGAGGCUUUUCCUUUUCUUGUUUGUUUGUGACUCAUUGCCAGACAACAUGGAAAUGUUAAGUAAUCUCAGGAAAGCUGAUAGGAAAUGUUCUGCUAAGAGAAAUUUCGACACAGUAGGAGGGGAAUUUUUCAGCAGAAAUAAACAUCUCUUUUCUGCUUUUCUUUUUGUUUUAAACA